Non-coding RNA from Oreochromis niloticus (Nile tilapia), 70 nucleotides. Lineage: Eukaryota; Metazoa; Chordata; Actinopteri; Cichliformes; Cichlidae. The record is from Rfam.
CCGGGAACAACAUCCUGAUGCUGUUUGGGUGUGUAAAGCAGAACUCCAGCAUCAGUGAUUUUGUUGCCAG